Non-coding RNA from Myotis brandtii (Brandt's bat), 158 nucleotides. The record is from Rfam. Lineage: Eukaryota; Metazoa; Chordata; Mammalia; Chiroptera; Vespertilionidae.
AUACUUACACCUGGCAGGGGAGAUACCGCAAAGGUGCUUUCCCAGGUGGAGGCUUACCCAUUGCACUCCCGAUUGCUGACCCCUGCGAUUUCCCCAAACGUAGGACACUCGAUAGCAUGAUUCGUGGUAGCCAGGGACUGCGUUCUCGCUCUCCUUUG